GGUAGAGAGAGACAGACAGAUAGAGAGAGACAGAGAGAGAGAGAAUGAAAGACAGAGAGAGGUAGAGAGAGACAGACAGAUAGAUAGAGACAGAGAGAGAGAGAAUGAAAGACAGACAGAGAGUUAGAGAGAGACAGACAGAUAGAGAGAGACAGAGAGAGAGAAUGAAAGACAGAGAGAGAGAGGUAGAGAGAGACAGACAGAUAGAGAGAGACAGAGAGAGAGAAUGAAAGACAGAGAGAGGUAGAGAGAGAGAGACAGACAGAUAGAGAGAGACAGAGAGAGAGAAUGAAGACAGAGAGAGAUUUACUAGUUAUUUUAAUGGUCUUGUAA
Molecule: long non-coding RNA, 333 nt
Organism: Ictalurus punctatus (channel catfish)
Lineage: Eukaryota; Metazoa; Chordata; Actinopteri; Siluriformes; Ictaluridae
Source: Ensembl